UAACACGUGGGGAACCUGCCCCAUAGUCUGGGAUACCACUUGGAAACAGGUGCUAAUACCGGAUAAGAAAGCAGAUCGCAUGAUCAGCUUUUAAAGGGCGGCGUAAGCUGUCGCUAUGGGAUGGCCCCGCGGUGCAUUAGCUAGUUGGUAAGGUAACGGCUUACCAAGGCGACGAUGCAUAGCCGAGUUGAGAGACUGAUCGGCCACAUUGGGACUGAGACACGGCCCAAACUCCCUACGGGAGGCAGCAGCG
This 253-nucleotide ribosomal RNA is filed under the name uncultured Lactobacillus sp. Its description in RNAcentral is "partial 16S ribosomal RNA". It matches the Rfam family "Bacterial small subunit ribosomal RNA", at positions 111 to 356 of the family's 1533-position model. The record is from RNAcentral. Lineage: Bacteria; Bacillati; Bacillota; Bacilli; Lactobacillales; Lactobacillaceae.